This 28-nucleotide non-coding RNA is filed under the name Rattus norvegicus (Norway rat). Lineage: Eukaryota; Metazoa; Chordata; Mammalia; Rodentia; Muridae. The record is from RNAcentral.
UGAUCUGAGGAAAGAAGCCUUGGGUGUC